This 312-nucleotide ribosomal RNA is filed under the name uncultured bacterium. RNAcentral describes it as "bacterial SSU rRNA". It matches the Rfam family "Bacterial small subunit ribosomal RNA", at positions 30 to 334 of the family's 1533-position model. The record is from RNAcentral.
AUUGAACGCUAGCGGGAUGCCUUACACAUGCAAGUCGAACGGCAGCGCAGGAGAGCUUGCUUUCCUGGCGGCGAGUGGCGAACGGGUGAGUAAAGUAUCGGAACGUACCCAGCAGCGGGGGAUAACUGGCCGAAAGGUCAGCUAAUACCGCAUAAUCUCUACGGAGCAAAGAGGGGGAUCCAUAAGGACCUUUCACUGCUGGAGCGGCCGAUAUCGGAUUAGCUGGUUGGUGGGGUAAAGGCCUACCAAGGCAUUGAUCCGUAGCUGGUUUGAGAGGACGACCAGCCACAUUGGGACUGAGACACGGCCCAA